GAUUUAUUUAUAAAAAAUUUUUCUUAUAAAGAAUCAUUAAAUCUUAUUCUAUUUGACGAUGAAAAAAACUUUUGGGACAAUUUGAUAAAAAGAUAGAAAAGAGGUUAGAAGGUAGAAGAAAAAUAGAGGUUAUGGUUGACGGUCGACGCGUCAAUUCAUUUCAUUUCAUUUUUUUUUCUCGAUUGCCCAUGGAUGGAUCGAGGAGACCAUUGAAGCGGAUUUAAAAUAAUGCAGGAGUCCGUCCCAUCUGUAGAGAUCGUUCCAUUUAAAUAGUGUAUGAUACACAUUAUUAGAUACAACAAAUAUCCAGAGCAGGGGGACGAAGACACUGAUAGAAACCAGAUAUGGCACAAGUAGCAGUUCACAGAGAAUGGAUUUCCUUGUACGCAAUCAAGUGAAUACAAUCGACAAUGCAGAGAGCAAUGAAUGAAUUGAUGAGAGUUAUUAUUAGUUACGAGCAUAAUAAUCAGCUCCAUCCUGAAACAGAUGAAAAGCUUCCUCCUCGGCUGCUUCCUCUUCCUCAGCUUUCUUCUGCAAUUCAUCGUAAGACAUCGCGACAAUAGCAAGAAUCAAGUUGACGAGAUAAAACGAGCCAAGAAAAAUGAUCACGAUGAAGAACAACAUAUGCCAUGGGCCGGCCGAUCUAAGCACUAACUGG
Molecule: long non-coding RNA, 658 nt
Organism: Apis dorsata (giant honeybee)
Lineage: Eukaryota; Metazoa; Arthropoda; Insecta; Hymenoptera; Apidae
Exons: 3
Source: RefSeq, a predicted model, not a curated record